GAAAUGCGAUAAGUAGUGUGAAUUGCAGAAUUCAGUGAAUCAUCGAAUCUUUGAACGCACAUUGCGCCCUUUGGUAUUCCUUAGGGCAUGCCUGUUCGAGCGUCACUUAAACCUUCAAGCCCUGCUUGGUGUUGGGUGCCUGUCCCGCCCCCGCGCGUGGACUCACCUCAAAUCCAUUGGCGGCCCCCGCAUGGCCACGAGCGCAGCAGAAACGCAAACUCGUGUGCCGGAACGGGCGGCUCCCAGAAGCUACACUCACCAUUUUGACCUCGGAUCAGGUAGGGAUACCCGCUGAACUUAAGC
RNAcentral lists this unclassified non-coding RNA (303 nucleotides) under plant metagenome. Its description in RNAcentral is "partial contains 5.8S ribosomal RNA, internal transcribed spacer 2, and large subunit ribosomal RNA". The stretch from base 1 to 105 matches the Rfam family "5.8S ribosomal RNA", at positions 50 to 154 of the family's 154-position model. The record is from RNAcentral.